This 467-nucleotide ribosomal RNA is filed under the name uncultured Desulfuromusa sp. RNAcentral's name for it is "bacterial SSU rRNA". It matches the Rfam family "Bacterial small subunit ribosomal RNA", at positions 923 to 1382 of the family's 1533-position model. The record is from RNAcentral. Lineage: Bacteria; Pseudomonadati; Thermodesulfobacteriota; Desulfuromonadia; Desulfuromonadales; Geopsychrobacteraceae.
GCACAAGCGGUGGAGCAUGUGGUUUAAUUCGACGCAACGCGAAGAACCUUACCUGGGUUUGACAUCCCGAUCGUACUCUAUGGAAACAUAGGGGUCAGUUCGGCUGGAUCGGUGACAGGUGCUGCAUGGCUGUCGUCAGCUCGUGUCGUGAGAGUUGUUGGGUUAAGUCCCGCAACGAGCCGCAACCCUUUAUCCCUAGUUGCCAUCAGGUAAAGCUGGGAACUCUGGGGAGACUGCCGGUGAUAAACCGGAGGAAGGCGGGGAUGACGUCAAGUCCUCAUGGCCCUUACAUCCCGGGCUACACACGUGCUACAAUGGCAGGUACAGAGGGCUGCGAAGCCGCGAGGUGGAGCGAAUCCCAGAAAACCUGUCUCAGUCCGGAUUGAAGUCUGCAACUCGACUUCAUGAAGGCGGAAUCGCUAGUAACCGCGAAUCAGCAGGUCGCGGUGAAUACGUUCCCGGGCCUU